UGGGGAAUUUUGCGCAAUGGGCGAAAGCCUGACGCAGCAACGCCGCGUGAGUGAUGAAGGCUUUCGGGUCGUAAAGCUCUGUCAAGGGGAAAGAAGUGUAUUGUGGUUAAUACCCAUGAUGCUUGACGGUACCCCUAAAGGAAGCACCGGCUAACUCCGUGCCAGCAGCCGCGGUAAUACGGGGGGUGCAAGCGUUGUUCGGCAUUAUUGGGCGUAAAGCGCGUGUAGGCGGGUUGUUAAGUCUGAUGUGAAAGCCCGGGGCUCAACCUGGGAAUUGCAUUGGAAACUGGCAGACUUGAAUACGGGAGAGGGUAGUGGAAUUCCUGGUGUAGGAGUGAAAUCCGUAGAUAUCAGGAGGAACACCGGUGGCGAAGGCGUCUGCCUGGACCGAUAUUGACGCUGAGACGCGAAAGCGUGGGUAGCAAACA
Molecule: ribosomal RNA, 428 nt
Filed under: uncultured prokaryote
Description: bacterial SSU rRNA
Rfam family: Bacterial small subunit ribosomal RNA
Source: RNAcentral